This is a long non-coding RNA of Phyllopteryx taeniolatus (common seadragon), 2063 nucleotides long. RefSeq lists it as uncharacterized. The record is from RefSeq and is a predicted model, not a curated record. The transcript has 17 exons. Lineage: Eukaryota; Metazoa; Chordata; Actinopteri; Syngnathiformes; Syngnathidae.
AGCUUUUUCUUAAAAAAAAACCCGCACGUGCGAUGACGUGACCAGCUGCAAGCUAUUUAAGCUGCGACUAAUUGCAUGAGCGUUCUUUCUCCAGCGGCUGACAGCAUCCCGUCGUCCUCACGCCGCUGCUGCUCUCCACACAUUUCCACAAGAGAGCCCUGCUCGCAUCACUGGUGAGACACGCACACUCGUACACACAAAAAAUAUCUCAAUUUGUUUCAGCAAAUGAUGAGCUACCAUGUGGCAAAAGCUAACAGAUUUAUUCCUGUGAUGACAUCAUUAAGGUGGGAACAUGUCACAACACCCAAAAUGCAUUAAUCUCCAAUGGUGAUGGUAAAAGAUUGUGCCUUUGCAGCAAACAUUCCUUACAUCCUGCUUCUGUGUGCAGUUAUGACAACCUCCACUUGAAGCGCCGCUGCCUGAGGACUGAGAUGCUGGCUGCACAGAGCUGCAAUCCGGACCCCCAACAAGGUAAGUUACCUUCACUACUCUUCGCUCAUGUCCACUAGGUGGUGCAAAAGCAUCUUGGCCCUGGAGAACCUGAACCCGGCUUGAACCGACGAGUGAAGCAGAUUUCCUGCUUCAAGGUCUGACUUGAUCUGCGUCAAAGACUGACAUCCUUUUGACUUCAUCCAGCGCUGCUUCCACCAAAGCUUCAGUCAGUUGCUUGCUUACUUACUCUGCAUGCAGGGUGGCUUCCAGGACAAGUUCCAUUGUGGCAGAGAACCACCUUGGCCCCCAAGAUCCUGCACCUGCUGGGGAAAAACAGUUCUACGUGACUAUGCAGAGACUGAGGAACAUGUUCAACUUCCUGGAGCUCACGACACAUUGGUCGACGCGCUCGUCACGCUGACUGACGGUCAUCAGCAACGAGGAAACGGUCAUUCCACCUUUAGUGGACUCGGCUGGAAGACUACAUUAGAAGGUGCUGAAGCCAAACUGUGGAGCAGCCAGAGAAGUUGGGGACAAGUUUGAUGCUUCCUGUGAAUGCAGCAAUGUGAGCACUUGGACGAAGUCCCAGGCAGCAACAAGUCACAUCCUCUUCAUUGCUGGUAAUCUUCUGAAGGAGGGUAAGGGACACAUGAGAUGACUUGCAGCAACCACUCCUCACAUCACGUCUUGACAGCCAGCGAGAGGAACAAGAUGCACGAGGGGUCCUCAACGAGAACAAAUAAAUUUCAACUGGUCAAAAAUGCCGCCCGUCUUGGAGAACCUGAGUCCAGCAUCCCCACGCACCUUGGACUGACUCAUGAAGCACUCUCCUUCGUAAAGGUCUGACUUGAUCUGUUUCAAAGACACUUGAUGAAUGCAAGUACUUGAUUUGUUGUGGUGGGGGAAAUGGCAUCAUGAUCAACUUCCUGUCCACCAUGCUGAGAUGAUGUAAGCUGCAAACCAACUCUGAAACUGAAGGACAACAUCCAGAAGGUGACAACCGAAGUGGGGGAUGAAUUUGAGGAGCCAACUUUAGCGCUGUUGGCUGAGGAACAUGUUCAGCUUCCUGCGAGGGCUCAGUCGCAGAAAAACAAGUUGCACAUCCUUUUCGGUCACGACACACCGGUGCACACUCUCCUCACGAUCAACAGCGACGAGGAAACUGUCGUCAGUGACUACCUGGUGAAGUGGACCUGUCAUCCACCACUGAAGUUGAAGCUUUUAACGGGUCACGACACACCGGUCCACGAUGACCGGUGACUAUCAACAGCCGUCAGUGACUGCCUGGUGAAGUGGACCUGUCGUCCAACACUGAUGCGUUUAAUGGGUCAUGACACACCGGUCCACGCUCUCCUCACGAUCAACAGCAACGAGGAAACGGUUGUCAGUGACUACCUGGUGAAGUGGACCUGUCAUCCAACACUGAAGUUGAUGCUUUUAACGGUGCUGGGGAACAUGGUCAGAGUCCUGGCAAUGCAGAUGUGCGAGCACUUGGACAGUCCCAGAAAACAAAUUUCACACCCUUUUCAUCACUGGCAGUGACAAGAAGACGAUCGUCAUCCAACAUGUAAGCUUUAAAAAAAAAAGUUUGCUUUUUACUCUGCAAAAAAAAUAAAACAGUUGAAAAACUU